GAGAUGUAUUGCAUCUAGUGGACUAUGUAUUGGGACUCUUUAGGAAGAAUGCAAUAUGAAAAGAUAUGUGACUGAGGGAAGUAUAGGCAGGUAAACCUGCCGAUUGAGAGCGAAGUGAGAGGGAGGCUUGGACCGCACACGUUCUACCUGUGGGUGGUAGCAGCGUGUUGCGACAUAGAGGCACAAACCCGCCACCCGCCAAUUUAAACAGUAUUUAAGCACGAUCUAGG
Molecule: non-coding RNA, 230 nt
Organism: Pelobates cultripes (western spadefoot toad)
Lineage: Eukaryota; Metazoa; Chordata; Amphibia; Anura; Pelobatidae
Source: the annotation of a GenBank genome assembly